UACGGAGGGUGCGAGCGUUGUCCGGAAUCACUGGGCGUAAAGGGCGCGUAGGCGGCCUGAUAAGUAGGGGGUGAAAUCCUGCGGCUUAACCGCAGGGCUGCCUUCUAAACUGUCAGGCUGGAGCACAGUAGAGGCAGGUGGAAUUCCUGGUGUAGCGGUGAAAUGCGCGGAUAUCAGGAGGAACACCGGUGGCGAAGGCGGUUCUCUGGGCCUUACCUGACGCUGAGGAGCGAAAGCGUGGGGAGCAAACAGG
Molecule: ribosomal RNA, 253 nt
Filed under: uncultured bacterium
Lineage: Bacteria
Description: partial 16S ribosomal RNA
Rfam family: Bacterial small subunit ribosomal RNA
Source: RNAcentral